CAGUAUCGUCCACAGCAGACAGCUGUUGUGUUUUAGAGAUUUUAAAAUGUGAACACAGAUUGGACAAACGCAUGUAAGCGACUGCUCUGAGACUGGGUUAGAGUUAGAGCAUCCCUGGGGGAUUCUGUGUGGAGGAUCUGGCAGCCCUGGGGGAUGUGUGUGGGGGGAUUCUGUGUGGAGGAUCUGGCAGCCCUGGGGGAUGUGUGUGCGGGGAUUCUGUGUGGAGGAUCUGGCAGCCCUGGGCAGCUCUGCUCUAUCAGAAGCUCGGGUAAUAAACUCGUAUCUCCAGGCUGUACAGUGAGUGAGGUGCGGGGUGUUUACAGUAAUGCAGAUGAGUUGGUGACAGGGGGCGUGGCCCAGAGCAGUGUCUGAGUAUGGAGUAUGCGAGAAGGGGUGGACGCGGCGACCGAAUAGGGCGGUACAGAAAAGACUCUGAAGACCACGAUUACAGAGAUAUGGACUACCGCGGCUACACCCAGAGCCGCAUCCCACGGGGCGGAGGAUACCACCUCAAUAGCAGCGAGAACAGCAAGCGGCAGCGCCAAAGGGAUGACUGUGCCGGAGUGACGCGGGAGUUCCUGCCGGAUCUGUGUUCUGAGAACCGGGCGGGGUUCCGGCAAAGAGGGAUCCGUGGAGGGAUUGACAACCGGAGAGGGAACGGCUUCCCCGACGAUCCUCAGCAAACACACCAGCGGUACCAGCAGGAGGACGGGGAGCAACAGUACAGGCACCCGCGGGACUUCCAGCCCUUCAGGCAGAUCCAGACUGAUGAACACUCUUUCCAUCAAUCAGAGAGCAGCGAGGAGUGGGUCACAGCCGGGGGCCAGAGCAGGCCCUCAGAGGAGGAGGACGGUCCGGUGUGUCCAGGUCCCGGUAAAUACUCCAGAGGUGUCGACCAAAGAAGGGGUUUCUGUCCAUCGCAGCAGACUGAAGCGAGGGAUGACACUGGAGAGGGUGUUUACCUCACUGAGGUGGAGCCUGGACCGGAAGAGGCGGAGCUCCGGGAUCAAGACUACAGGGCUGAAGGAGAACAGGGCCAGAGACCGAGCAGCAUCAUCAUGCUCCGCAUGCUUCCGCCAAACGCCACCGUCACCGAGGUACAACCUCACCCUGACACCCGCACCCAU
Molecule: long non-coding RNA, 1127 nt
Filed under: Astyanax mexicanus (Mexican tetra)
Lineage: Eukaryota; Metazoa; Chordata; Actinopteri; Characiformes; Acestrorhamphidae
Description: lncRNA (ENSAMXG00005001811.1)
Source: RNAcentral